UGCUUGGAUUUUAGUGGUUGAGCAACUAGGGCCUUACAGGGUUCAGAGGCCAAUUGGAAAGGGGACAGCCAAGGAGGCAGGUACUCAAGAAGGUCCUGCCAUAUGAGGAAAUCAUCCUGGGUACAUUUUUACCAGAAAAUAUUUUUUGAGUACCAGCAAUAUGCUAGGCACUGUGUGUAUAAAGUAACAUAAGCAAUAAAAUAAUUGAAAUUUGAAAAAAAAUCUUUUUUUGUAGUUUGUAACUCUCUAACAAAAUUAAUUGCACAUUCAUCCUUUUCCCAUAGAAUAUCAUUUAUUUCCAGUAUAGCAUAUGUUGCACUAUAUUAUGGUCAUUUGCUUCAUUUUGAUUGCCACUGCUAGAUUAUAAUUUCCUUGAGAGGAAACUACUUCUUUAUUUUUAUAAUGGCCAGUGCUUGGCCUAUCAUAGGUGCUAAUUGUUUUUUUUCCUUGAUGCUAAUUUCUUAACUUUCCCUCA
RNAcentral lists this long non-coding RNA (475 nucleotides) under Pan troglodytes (chimpanzee). Its description in RNAcentral is "long non-coding RNA NONPTRT012546". Lineage: Eukaryota; Metazoa; Chordata; Mammalia; Primates; Hominidae. The record is from RNAcentral.